Mytilus californianus (California mussel) is the source of this 315-nucleotide long non-coding RNA. RefSeq lists it as uncharacterized. The transcript is spliced from 3 exons. The record is from RefSeq and is a predicted model, not a curated record. Lineage: Eukaryota; Metazoa; Mollusca; Bivalvia; Mytilida; Mytilidae.
UUUUUAAAUUUGAAUUUCGAAACGAUGGCAGGAUAUCAACAAAGAGAGCCAAGAAAAUUGUUUGUUACGCGAUAUAUACUCACUUGGAGCUAAAAGAAAAGCCACAAAGGACAAGUUCAAUAUGCAGGUUUACAAUUUGGAAGUGGCACAGGUUCUUUGGAAUGUCUACAACCUUUCAGGAGAAUUUUUUUUUUGAAAAGCAUGGCACAGCAAGAAAAAGAUAUGACACUACAAGACAUUCCAAGUGAUUUUGAAUAAGACAAUUGAUUGACUUUUUCAAUGUAUUCUUAAAUAAAUCAAAUAGUUGAUGUAAAA